CGGUGUUCAACUGGCGUGCCCGCGGGACGUCCUGCCGGUGAGCUCAGCCCGCGAGGGCGGCUCAACUUGAAAUCCCAUCGCGGUGCUCUUCAUUGAGUGUCGAGGUGGGCCGGCACGAUUACUUUUGAACAAAUUAGAGUGCUUAAAGCAGGCUAAAAUUUUGCCUGAAUACUGUGUAUAUGGAAUAAUGGAAUAGGACCUCGGUUCUAUUUUGUUGGUUUUCGGAACCCCGAGGUAAUGAUUAAUAGGAACGGAUGGGGGCAUUCGUAUUGCGACGUUAGAGGUGAAAUUCUUGGAUCGUCGCAAGACGGACUAAAGAGAAAGCAUUUGCCAAAAACGCUUUCAUUGAUCAAGAACGAAAGUUAGAGGUUCGAAGGCGAUCAGAUACCGCCCUAGUUCUAACCAUAAACUAUGCCAGCUAGCGAUCCGCCGACGUCCCUCUGAUGACUCGGCGGGGCAGCUUCCGGGAAACCAAAGCUUUUUGGGUUCCGGGGAGAAGUAUGGUUGCAAAGCUGAAACUUAAAGGAAUUGACGGAAGGGCACCACCCGAGAGUGGAGCGUGCGGCUUAAUUUGACUCAACACGGGAAACCUCACCAGGCCCAGACACUGGAAGGAUUGACAGAUUGAGAGCUCUUUCUUGAUUCAGUGGGUGGUGGUGCAUGGCCGUUCUUAGUCGGUGGAGCGAUUUGUCAGGUUAAUUCUGAUAACGGACGAGACUCUGACCUGAUAACUAGACGCACUUGCGGCAUCUCAAAGGUCCGCCGGCGGCGGGCUUUGCGCCGGUCGUCGCGCGCGAUUUUUACUGCCGGCGUACAAUAAAUUAUUUUUUGAGGGACAAGUGG
Molecule: ribosomal RNA, 843 nt
Filed under: uncultured eukaryote
Lineage: Eukaryota
Description: SSU rRNA
Rfam family: Eukaryotic small subunit ribosomal RNA
Source: RNAcentral